RNAcentral lists this long non-coding RNA (1557 nucleotides) under Anas platyrhynchos platyrhynchos (common mallard). RNAcentral describes it as "lncRNA (ENSAPLG00000028847.1)". Lineage: Eukaryota; Metazoa; Chordata; Aves; Anseriformes; Anatidae. The record is from RNAcentral.
CUGGGAAGGGAACUGGGAGCACUGGGAGUGCCCUGCCAGGACCUUACUGGGAGGACUGGGAGGUAGCAUUGCUAUGUCCGGGUUGCAUUGGGAGCACUGGGAGUGCCCUCUCAGGGUCAUACUGGGAGCACUGGGAGUGCCCUGUGAGGGUCGUACUGGGAGUACUGGGAACAGGAGAGGCAGGUACUGGUCGUACUGGGGGAUACUGGGAGCACUGGGAGCUGGCAGUGCCGGUCACUGGGGCCGGGGGGCAAUUGUACUGGUCUUACUGGGAGCUGGGGGUGGCAGCUGCUGGGGGCACCCUGUUGAGGCUGUACUGGGAAUACUGGGAGCACUGGGAGCACCCUGUCAGGGCUAUACUGGGAGCACUGGGAUGUGGGGGCAGCGUGUGGGGGCUGUGAGGGGGCACUGGUGGUGGUACUGGUGGUACUGGUGGUGGUACUGGUGUUAGUGGUGGUGUUAAUGGUGGUGGUACUGGUGUUACUGGUGGCGUUACCGGUGGUACUGUUGUCACCAGUGGUGCUACUGGUGUUACUGGUGGUGGUACUGGUGGCAUUCCUGGUGUUACUGGUGUCACUGGUGCCACUGGUGUCACUGGUGCCACUGGUGGUGUGUUACCAGUGUUACUGGUGCAGUGUUACUGGCGCUACUGGUGUCACUGGUGACAUUACUGGUGUCACUGGUGGUGUGUUACUGGUGUCACUGGUGAUGUCACUGGUGUUACUGGUGUCACUGGUAACGUGUUACUGGCAUUACUGGUGGUUACUGGUGUUACUGGUGGUGUUACUGGUGGCGUGUUACUGGUGUCACUGGUGUUACUGGUGCUGCAGUUACAGAAGCGCCCCCCUGGCCCCGUGACCCGCUGACCCCGUGACCCCCCGUGACCCCCAGCCCCCUUGCACACACGCGUGUCACACGUGGGCACCCUCAGAGGCGUGUGCAAGGUGCCCGGGGACACGCGUGGCACGCACACGCCUUGCACACGCCUUGCACACGCGUCCCGUGUGCUCACACGUGCCUUACACGUUACACACGCACCCACACGCGUUACACACGCACCCCACACGCUUGCACACGCACCCCACACGCUUGCACACGCACCCCACACGCCCAUGUGUGCCCCACACAUGUCCGUGUGCACCCCGUGUGCUCACAUGUGCCUUGCACGCUUUUGCACGUGUGCCCCACGUGCUCGUAGUGCCCUACACGUGGUUGCACGCACCUUACACGCGUUGCACACCCCCCAUAUGCUCACAUGUGCCCGCCACGUGUUGCACGCGUGCUCGUGUGUGCCCUACAUGUGUCCUUGUGCACCCCGUGUGCUCCUAUGUGCCCUACAUGUGUUGCACACGCACCCCGCACACUCACAUGUGCCUUACACAUGUGCUCCGUGUGCUUGUACGUGCCCUACACGUGGUUGCACGCACACACGAGGUGUUGCACACGCACCCCAUGUGCUCCUGUGUGCCUUACACACGGUUACACGCGUGCCCUAGACACGUUGCAUGCACCCUACACGUGUUGCACACGCAUCCCAUGUGCUUGUGCGUGUAUGUG